This 29-nucleotide non-coding RNA is filed under the name Mus musculus (house mouse). The record is from RNAcentral. Lineage: Eukaryota; Metazoa; Chordata; Mammalia; Rodentia; Muridae.
UGCCAAAAUGACUGUCUGGUUAUCAUCCA